This 294-nucleotide ribosomal RNA is filed under the name uncultured bacterium. Its description in RNAcentral is "partial 16S ribosomal RNA". It matches the Rfam family "Bacterial small subunit ribosomal RNA", at positions 775 to 1069 of the family's 1533-position model. The record is from RNAcentral.
GGAUUAGAUACCCCGGUAGUCCACGCCGUAAACGUUGGGCACUAGGUGUGGGGUCUAUUCAACGGACUCCGUGCCGUAGCUAACGCAUUAAGUGCCCCGCCUGGGGAGUACGGCCGCAAGGCUAAAACUCAAAGGAAUUGACGGGGGCCCGCACAAGCAGCGGAGCAUGUUGCUUAAUUCGAGGCAACGCGAAGAACCUUACCUGGGUUUGACAUGUAGAGAAAAGCCAUAGAGAUAUGGUGUCCUUCGGGUUCGUACACAGGUGGUGCAUGGUUGUCGUCAGCUCGUGUCGUG